Molecule: ribosomal RNA, 252 nt
Filed under: uncultured bacterium
Lineage: Bacteria
Description: partial 16S ribosomal RNA
Rfam family: Bacterial small subunit ribosomal RNA
Source: RNAcentral
UACGUAGGCAGCGAGCGUUGUUCGGAGUUACUGGGCGUAAAGAGUGCGUAGGCGGUUUUCUAAGUUUGGUAUGAAAUCUCCCGCUUAACCGGGAGGGUGCGCCGAAUACUGAAUGACUAGAGUGCGGGAGAGGAGAGUGGAAUUCCUGGUGUAGCGGUGAAAUGCGCAGAUAUCAGGAAGAACACCCGUGGCGAAGGCGGCUCUCUGGGACGGUACUGACGCUGAGACGCGAAAGCGUGGGGAGCGAACAGG